UACAGAGGGGGCAAGCGUUGUUCGGAAUUACUGGGCGUAAAGGGCGCGUAGGCGGCCUGCUAAGUCGAACGUGAAAUCCCCGGGCUCAACCCGGGAACUGCGUCCGAUACUGGCAGGCUUGAAUCCGGGAGAGGGAUGUGGAAUUCCAGGUGUAGCGGUGAAAUGCGUAGAUAUCUGGAGGAAUACCGGUGGCGAAGGCGGCAUCCUGGACCAUUACUGACGCUGAGGCGCGAAAGCUAGGGGAGCAAACAGG
Molecule: ribosomal RNA, 253 nt
Filed under: uncultured bacterium
Lineage: Bacteria
Description: partial 16S ribosomal RNA
Rfam family: Bacterial small subunit ribosomal RNA
Source: RNAcentral